RNAcentral lists this ribosomal RNA (380 nucleotides) under uncultured eukaryote. RNAcentral describes it as "partial 18S ribosomal RNA". It matches the Rfam family "Eukaryotic small subunit ribosomal RNA", at positions 592 to 976 of the family's 1831-position model. The record is from RNAcentral.
CAAUAGCGUAUAUUAAAGUUGUUGCAGUUAGAACGCUCGUAGUCGGAUUUCGGGGCGGGUCGACCGGUCUGCCGAUGGGUACGCACUGGCCGACGCGUCCUUCCUGCCGGAGACCGUCCCUACUCUUAGCUGAGCGGGGGCGGGAGACGGCACUUUUACUUUGAAAAAAUCAGAGUGUUUCAAGCAGGCAGCUCGCUCUUGCAUGGAUUAGCAUGGGAUAAUGAAAUAGGACUUUGGUGCUAUUUUGUUGGUUUCGAACACCGAAGUAAUGAUGAGAAGGGACAGUCAGGGGCACUCGUAUUCCGCAGAGAGAGGUGAAAUUCUUAGACCCGCGGAAGACGAACCACUGCGAAAGCAUUUGCCGGGGAUGUUUUCACUGA